This 469-nucleotide ribosomal RNA is filed under the name uncultured Alphaproteobacteria bacterium. RNAcentral describes it as "bacterial SSU rRNA". It matches the Rfam family "Bacterial small subunit ribosomal RNA", at positions 9 to 524 of the family's 1533-position model. Lineage: Bacteria; Pseudomonadati; Pseudomonadota; Alphaproteobacteria. The record is from RNAcentral.
GAGUUUGAUCGUGGCUCAGAGCGAACGCUGGCGGCAGGCCUAAAACAUGCAAGUCGAACGCCGUAGCAAUACGGAGUGGCAGACGGGUGAGUAACACGUGGGAACGUGCCUUUUGGUUCGGAACAACACAGGGAAACUUGUGCUAAUACCGGAUAAGCCCUUACGGGGAAAGAUUUAUCGCCAAAAGAUCGGCCCGCGUCUGAUUAGCUAGUUGGUGGGGUAACGGCUCACCAAGGCUACGAUCAGUAGCUGGUCUGAGAGGAUGAUCAGCCACACUGGGACUGAGACACGGCCCAGACUCCUACGGGAGGCAGCAGUUAGGAAUCUUGGACAAUGGGCGCAAGCCUGAUCCAGCCAUGCCGCGUGAGUGAUGAAGGCCUUAGGGUUGUAAAGCUCUUUCAGCGGGGAAGAUAAUGACGGUACCCGCAGAAGAAGCCCCGGCUAACUUCGUGCCAGCCGCCGCCGUAAG